This is a long non-coding RNA of Chenopodium quinoa (quinoa), 2724 nucleotides long. RefSeq lists it as uncharacterized. The transcript has 2 exons. The record is from RefSeq and is a predicted model, not a curated record. NCBI's taxonomy places the organism in Eukaryota, Viridiplantae, Streptophyta, Magnoliopsida, Caryophyllales, Amaranthaceae.
AUAGCCGUUGCAUGUGCAUAGUCUAAUGCAACGGAAGCUUUUAACAUGGCAAUAAAUAGGCCUAUUACAACGGCUAUGAGAAAGCCGUGGCAAUAGGGUGGUCUAACGCAACGGCCGAAUUUGAGGUGGAUGAAAAAUUCACAUAGGCGCGUAUAAUAAUCCAUUUAACUUCCCUCCUAUUAUUUUCCCUAAACCCUUCAUUAUUCCAAAUGAAUCGCCGUCAUUUAUCUCUCUUCUCCUCUGCCUCCAGUUUCUCCACCUCCGCCUCUCCUCCUUGACUUCUCUAUGCCGAUUUAGAAGCAUAAGUCCCACUCCCUGUCUCUCGCUCCAUGGAUGCCCCUCACCAUACUUCUCUAUCGCCAAUGUUGAAAAUCCUGACCACACGAUGGCUCUUUACUCAUCUAUCGAUUAUUAAUGAGUAUUGACAAUCUCUGGCGGAGUUACCAAGAAGCUUGUCUGUUCUCAUGAAGUUUGUUAAAUGUUUCCCUCUUUUACCCUUCUUGAUCUUGUUAACUCGGGUUGUUAAAUUGUUAGGGUUUUUGAAUUUGCAAUUUUCUUCAAGUUUUGCUCUGAUGAUGGUUCAAUUUAAUUUUGGUAAUUGUUUUUUUUUUUUUUUUUUUUGUAUUAAUUUGGAGCGUUUGUUGAAGGUAUUUCUCUUCAUUCUAUUCAAUGCACUAGAGGCGUGCCACUGUUUGCAAGAAGAUUAGAUUGGAAAAAUAAGCGAAAGUAAGCUUUCUACUUGUUUUCGAUUAAUUUCAAUUUAUUCUUCUGGGUUUAGAUAAUAUGAACAUGUAAAUUUUAAAGUUUGAAAUUCUGGGCUAGAUUAUUUUUAUUCUGUGUAAUUGAUUUUCUUAUAUUGUUUGGAUAAGUUGAUUGAAUAUGUUAUUGCGAGAUUUAUGUUGGUGAAAUUAGAAUUAAGUAAUAUGCUAAAAUACUUUGAUUUAUGGAGUUAAACCUCUUUUGAUUAAUAGUAAAGCUGUUUAGUUUUAGGGAAAUUAGAUUAGGGUGCUCCAAAGCUUUCAAUUUCUGUAAUCUACUUAUCAAUAUAUAUGUCAUGACUGUCAUAUAUAGAUUAGUAGUUUAUCAAUUUGAAUUCUGCAAAAUUAAUGUGCUUAUGAAACCGUCCAUUGCCGAUUAGUCAUUCCCUUAACUCACAAUAUAAUCAUAAGCUACCUAAAAGACCAAGUGUGCUUAAUAGAAGUUCUUUUUGCACACUAACUAACUGUAUGUUGUCAAAUUACUUGGUUGGUGAUUGCAUUUUUCAAUUUUCAAGGAGUUUUUUUUCCAGUAAAUAUACAAUCAAAAUAUAGUGCUGGAUCCAUUAUUACCUAUUGAUACGUAGUAAAAAAUUCUUAUUGUUACGGAGUAUAAAAUAGAACAUAGUCACCGUGAAAUCUAGUAAUAAAAGUAUAUAACCCACUUAGCUAUGUUCAAUUGAUGAAUUGCUAUUAUUUAAUUAAUUAACUAACCCCACAGAUUUGUUGUGAUGUUGUCAUCAAAAAGUCAAGAUUAGAAGAGUUUGCUUAUUAUUUAUACUUGUAUACUUGUAGCUAACAAUAGCUUAUAUAUACUUAUAAUCUAAUAAUAUAAGCACUGAAAAGACAAGCUAAGAGAGUAAAAAUAUCCGUAGAAAUAAAACGUGUUUUUGACCAACUCACUGAAGAUGCCAUGCGAUUGAUGGAAAAUGGAGAUUACAGUUGAGCACUUUGUUACUUGUGUCUCUGAUUGUUAGCUUUUGAUUAACUAUUUUAUGUUUCCAUUUUGCAAUAAUUAUAAGUAGCUUAAUUCUUUACUUAUCAUUGCAGUAUUUAUCAUGAAACCGAGAGGUUUUUGUACGUGACGCAGGUUUGUAUUUUAAGUUGCCAGCCUGUGAAUAAAAUGAAAUUUUUUAUUAUGUAUUUUUUAAAAUAUUAUAAUUAUCUGGCUGAGAACCCUUGAAUGUGAUUAAAUUAAUGUGAUUUCUGUUGUAUACAUGGGAUAGUUGAAUAGCUGUUUUAUGCAUGAUGAAUUAAGGUCCUCUUUGUGUGAACAUCUUUCAAAUUGUUAUAAUUUUUUUUGAAGGUAAAUGGUUAAUUCAUGUUUUCCUGUUUGCUUUUGUGCACUCCUUUUCCCUUUGCUUUUUAGUAUUGUGUCUAUACUCAUCCAUAUGUCUAGUUUUAGUAUUUUUGAGCCGAAUAAUGACACCUCUAUGCCUAGCGUGGACACAAGCACUCAGAUGGUGUGGAAAAUGGUAACCAAGAUUCAGAAAGUAUGGUUAAUGUCCAUAUGAUCUAUUUCUUUAUGUUUACAUUCUUUAAUACGAAUAUAAUAACAUUUUUGGUGAUAUAAUUCAUUCUCAUUUAUUUUAGGUUCUUGGGCUGGGCAAAGUGAUUAUGUAUACGAUGAAACAUCGGGGAGAUGGACUUGAUUGAAGAAACUUUGAACACUAAGUUGCGAAGAACUCUACCAGCAUCAAGUACUAGUAAAAGAGGUGGAUACUAAAGCUAAAGAAGAUGCUUCCUAAAUUGCUUUACUUGAGAAAUUGGAGAAGCAAAGAGAAAGAAAUGAUAAUGUGGACCAAACAAUUACUGAAAAUAUUGUUGGGGGACAAAAUGAUUAGUUUUAAAUUUUAAUUGUUUUUUUUUCUUAGUUUAACUAGUGAUAAUUUAGGUUUUGUAAUUUUCCUUAUAGAUAACAAUGUACAAACUUUCAAUUACUGAAAAUAAAAUUCUAUUUUUUUUGUUU